GAUGAACGCUGGCGGCGUGCCUAAUACAUGCAAGUCGAGCGAACGGACGAGACGCUUGCUUCUCUGAUGUUAGCGGCGGACGGGUGAGUAACACGUGGAUACCCUACCUAUAAGACUGGGAUCACUUCGGGAAACCGGAGCUCAUACCGGAUAAUAUUUUGAACCGCAUUGUUCAAAAGUGAAAGACGGUAUUGCUGUAUCUUAUAGAUGGAUCCGCGCUGCAUUAGCUAGUUGGUAAGGUAACGGCUUACCAAGGCAACGAUGCAUAGCCGACCUGAGAGGGUGAUCGCCCACACGGGAACUGAGACACGGUCCAGACUCCUACGGGAGGCAGCAGUGGGGAAUCUUCCGCAAUGGGCGAAAGCCUGACGGAGCAACGCCGCGUGAGUGAUGAAGGCCUUCGGUUCGUAAAACUCUGUUAUUAGGGAAGAACAUAUGUGUAGGUAACUGUGCACAUCUUGACGGUACCUAAUCAGAAAGCCACGGCUAACUACGUG
Molecule: ribosomal RNA, 497 nt
Filed under: uncultured bacterium
Lineage: Bacteria
Description: partial 16S ribosomal RNA
Rfam family: Bacterial small subunit ribosomal RNA
Source: RNAcentral